RNAcentral lists this ribosomal RNA (245 nucleotides) under uncultured Eubacteriales bacterium. RNAcentral's name for it is "uncultured Clostridiales bacterium partial 16S ribosomal RNA". It matches the Rfam family "Bacterial small subunit ribosomal RNA", at positions 524 to 768 of the family's 1533-position model. The record is from RNAcentral. Lineage: Bacteria; Bacillati; Bacillota; Clostridia; Eubacteriales.
UACGUAGGGGGCAAGCGUUGUCCGGAAUCAUUGGGCGUAAAGCGCGCGUAGGCGGCUACUUAAGUCAGACGUGAAAAACCUGGGCUCAACCGAGGUAUUGCGUUUGAAACUGGGUAGCUUGAGGACAGGAGAGGAUAGUGGAAUUCCUAGUGUAGCGGUGAAAUGCGUAGAUAUUAGGAGGAACACCAGUGGCGAAGGCGACUAUCUGGCCUGUACCUGACGCUGAGGUGCGAAAGCUGGGGGAG